GUUCAAUACUGACGCCGGGUGCGGCCGCGCCGGGCACUGUGUGUGUUGGCUUAUUUUUAGGUGUGAUGUAGAGUAAGCAGCGAGAAGAUAAGGAUUUUUGAUCAUCCCUCGAGAUAUAUCACGCGCCCCGCCGUGAUAUGUCAAUGUCCACCGAAACGGAGCAAACAUUCCCCUCGCUCGUCCUAUUCAUACUUAUAUAUAGAUAUAUUUAUUAUUAUUGAUAGAAUAAUCUGUAAUUGAUAUAAUUUGAAUAUUUAUAUGAGUGUAGAUAUUGUAGUAAUGCGUAGAGUAGAAUAUGCGUAGUAAGGCGGAUGUUUGCGCCGUGUCGGCGGGCGUGUCGAUGGUCAAACACCCUUGGUGUUGUUGUCGCUAGAGGGUGGCGACGUAAAGCGCGACGACAAGGACGUGCUACCGCGGCAGAAGUGUUUGGACGCGUUGGCCGCCCUUCGGCACGCCAAGUGGUUCCAGGCUAGGGCGGCCAGUCUGCAGUCCUGCGUCAUCAUCAUCCGCGUGAUGCGAGACCUCUGCCGCCGCGUUCCCAACUGGAUGCCGCUCAACCCAUACGCGAUGGAGCUGCUGGUGUCGGGCGUGAUGCAGUCUGCGGGCGCGGCGCUGUCCCCGG
Long non-coding RNA from Papilio polytes (common Mormon), 622 nucleotides. RefSeq lists it as uncharacterized. NCBI's taxonomy places the organism in Eukaryota, Metazoa, Arthropoda, Insecta, Lepidoptera, Papilionidae. The record is from RefSeq and is a predicted model, not a curated record. The transcript has 3 exons.